RNAcentral lists this ribosomal RNA (468 nucleotides) under uncultured bacterium. RNAcentral describes it as "partial 16S ribosomal RNA". It matches the Rfam family "Bacterial small subunit ribosomal RNA", at positions 28 to 507 of the family's 1533-position model. The record is from RNAcentral.
GACGAACGCUGGCGGCGUGCUUAACACAUGCAAGUCGAACGGAAAGGCCCUGCUUUUGUGGGGUGCUCGAGUGGCGAACGGGUGAGUAACACGUGAGUAACCUGCCCUUGACUUUGGGAUAACUUCAGGAAACUGGGGCUAAUACCGGAUAGGAGCUCCUGCUGCAUGGUGGGGGUUGGAAAGUUUCGGCGGUUGGGGAUGGACUCGCGGCUUAUCAGCCUGUUGGUGGGGUAGUGGCUUACCAAGGCUUUGACGGGUAGCCGGCCUGAGAGGGUGAUCGGCCACAUUGGGACUGAGAUACGGCCCAGACUCCUACGGGAGGCAGCAGUGGGGAAUAUUGCACAAUGGGCGGAAGCCUGAUGCAGCAACGCCGCGUGCGGGAUGACGGCCUUCGGGUUGUAAACCGCUUUCGCCUGUGACGAAGCGUGAGUGACGGUAAUGGGUAAAGAAGCACCGGCUAACUACGUG